GACGGAGGGUGCAAGCGUUGUUCGGAUUGACUGGGCGUAAAGGGCGUGUAGGCGGUUGGUCAAGUCUGAUGUGAAAGCCCGGGGCUCAGCCCCGGAAGGGCAUCGGAAACUAGCCAGCUGGAGCGCGAUAGAGGAGGGUGGAAUUCCUGGUGUAGCGGUGAAAUGACGUAGAUAUCAGGAGGAACACCGGCGGCGAAGGCGGCCCUCUGGAUCGUUGCUGACGCUGAGACGCGAAAGCGUGGGGAGCAAACAGG
Molecule: ribosomal RNA, 254 nt
Filed under: uncultured bacterium
Lineage: Bacteria
Description: partial 16S ribosomal RNA
Rfam family: Bacterial small subunit ribosomal RNA
Source: RNAcentral